This 1252-nucleotide ribosomal RNA is filed under the name metagenome. RNAcentral's name for it is "bacterial LSU rRNA". It matches the Rfam family "Bacterial large subunit ribosomal RNA", at positions 1564 to 2823 of the family's 2925-position model. The record is from RNAcentral.
CGUGAUGCCGGGCCUCCGGGCCAGAAGUGUGCAAGUCCUACUGCCGAGAAAAGCUGCCGAGCGAUGAAAGCAACCGACCGUACCGCAAACCGACACUGGUAGACGGGUAGAGUAUACCAAGGCGAACGGGAGAACCCUCGUUAAGGAACUAGGCAAAAUGGCUCCGUAACUUCGGGAGAAGGAGCGCCCAGCGCAAGCUGGGUCACAGUGAAAUGGCCCUGCCGACUGUUUAUCAAAAGCACAGGUCUCUGCUAACGCGAAAGCGGAAGUAUAGGGGCUGACACCUGCCCAGUGCCGGAAGGUUAAAGGGAAGGGUUAGACUUCGGUCGAAGCUCAGAACUGAAGCCCCGGUGAACGGCGGCCGUAACUAUAACGGUCCUAAGGUAGCGAAAUUCCUUGUCGGGUAAGAUCCGACCCGCACGAAUGGUGUAACGAGUGGGGCGCUGUCUCAACGAGGGACCCGGCGAAAUUGAAGUAUGCGUAAAGAUGCGUAUUACCCGCAGCAGGACAAAAAGACCCCGUGGAGCUUUACUGUAGCUUGCUAUUGCGUUAGGGUAUGACUUGUGCAGGAUAGCUGGGAGGCUGAGAAGCUGGCGCGUCAGCGUCGGUGGAGCCAACGUUGAGAUACCAGCCUGGCCAUGCUUUGACCCUAACCUGCGUCCGUAUAACCGGCGUGGGAACAGUGGCAGGUGGGCAGUUUGACUGGGGCGGUCGCCUCCUAAAAGGUAGCGGAGGCGCCCAAAGGUUCCCUCAGGCUGAAUGGAAACCAGCCGCAGAGUGUAAAGGCACAAGGGAGCUUGACUGUAAGGCAGACACGCCGAGCAGAGACGAAAGUCGGGCUUAGUGAUCCCACGGCACUGUGUGGAAAGGCCGUGGCUUACCGGAUAAAAGCUACCCCGGGGAUAACAGGCUAGUCUUGCCCAAGAGUUCAUAUCGACGGCAAGGCUCGGCACCUCGAUGUCGGCUCAUCGCAUCCUGGGGCUGGACAAGGUCCCAAGGGUUGGGCUGUUCGCCCAUUAAAGCGGUACGUGAGCUGGGUUCAGACCGUCGUGAGACAGGUCGGUCUCUAUCCGCUGUGGGCGUAGGGAGAUUGAGGGGGCCUGCCCCUAGUACGAGAGGACCGGGGUGGACGAAGCGCUCGUGUGCCAGUUGUCACGCCAGUGGCAUCGCUGGGUAGCGACCUUCGGUUGAGAUAACCGCUGAAAGCAUCUAAGCGGGAAACUCGCCUCAAGAUGAGUCUCCCCUUCCCUUU